This is a long non-coding RNA of Pristis pectinata (smalltooth sawfish), 403 nucleotides long. RefSeq lists it as uncharacterized. The record is from RefSeq and is a predicted model, not a curated record. The transcript has 4 exons. NCBI's taxonomy places the organism in Eukaryota, Metazoa, Chordata, Chondrichthyes, Rhinopristiformes, Pristidae.
GGCAGGCAGCUCGGGGAAGUCCCUUCUGUGGUCGCUGGACACCUCGCAGCUCAACAGGGCGAUGAUGAGCAGCCCCGUGAUCGUCGGAGCCAUCCUCCUCCCUCGCAGAGAGAAGAAAUAGUGUGCCAAGAAUUCACGGACAGGACAUGGAGAGCAAGCCAACCUGACAGAAGUGGGAAGAGGAAUAUACACCAAAAAAUCUUACAUCCACCUUAGAGAGGGAUCAACUACAGGAGAGCAAGAGAUCAACUUUGGCUUCAUGGAAUUGGGAUUCCCUGAGAAAAUAAGAUGUGACAUCAGAGGACAGAAGAUGCUACUUAACCUGCUGAGCAACUCCAGAUUUUCUGUUUAUAAGGUUUAUGAUUAAAUAUUCUUUGAAUAUUUACAUGGAUUUUGUUUCCUC